This 465-nucleotide long non-coding RNA is filed under the name Homo sapiens (human). Its description in RNAcentral is "HSALNT0289982". Lineage: Eukaryota; Metazoa; Chordata; Mammalia; Primates; Hominidae. The record is from RNAcentral.
GUGAUCCACCCGCCUCGGCCUCCCAAAGUGCUGGGAUUACAGGCGUGAGCCACCGCGCCCAGCCUAAAUGGGACAUCUUUUAACACUCCUUCCAGAGAAACCUAUAUAUUAGCUCGGCAGGGGCACACUGUUUCCAGCCUGUGCGGCAGCUAGGUGUGACCAUGUGACCAAGUCCUGACCAAUGAUAAAAGGUGGAGACUACAAAGAGGUUUAGUAACACACCAGGUUGCACCCCUCACAAAGGAGGGCAGAUGCCCACCUCUCAUCACAGGCCCAUGCUGGGGCCAUGCACACAGAUUACCUGGAAUGACUGGCCCACAGAACCCAUCAUUGGAUCACAGGCCCAUGCUGGGGCCAUGCGCACAGAUUACCUGGAAUGACUGGCCCACAGACUCCAUCACUUGGGGGUGUUUGAUGAGAGAGACAAAGUGAGAAGGCGAGUUAAAUACGUUUUGAUGAAGAUAG